RNAcentral lists this long non-coding RNA (493 nucleotides) under Manihot esculenta (cassava). Its description in RNAcentral is "long non-coding RNA (MESC_LNC011990)". Lineage: Eukaryota; Viridiplantae; Streptophyta; Magnoliopsida; Malpighiales; Euphorbiaceae. The record is from RNAcentral.
AAAAAGAAAGCAAAAAGAUAAUGUAAACGGAAAAAAUAUAACCUAAACCUAACAGUAAAUACCCCCACACCUAUCCCAAACAUUGUCCUCAAUGUUUAAACAUAAAUAUGAAAAAAUUAAUAAGGAGAAGGAAAGGACUGCCUGGGAUGUGGGUGAUUUGAGCAGGUGAUUUGGGCAAAUCACCCGGCCAAAUCACUGGCUGUCAUGGUCUGUGGGUAGAAAGUGUUGAACCAGCAGCUGCAACAUGCUUUCCAUGUGCUGCAUCCUGUCUUGAGCCUCCACCGAAUGGUCUAGAGGUGCCUUUUAUGUCCUCCAAGGUCCACCCAAUGGCUUUCUUGUGCUUCCUCAACACAUCAAGGAGCUUUUCCUCUUCUUCUUGGCUGGGCUGGUUAGAAAUAAUUACUGGAAGUGUAUUUUCAGCCCCUAAAAAGGCAUAUUUGAGAUGGCUGGACAAGGGUUUCAGAUCUGGUGUAUCUGCUGCCUGUUCUGAUUU